GUUGAACGAUUUGCCGUAGUUGGUGAAACCGACAUCGGCGGCGUUGGCGGAUUUGGCGUAGGAGGUGAAGGAGUCGGCGCCGACGUUGGCUUGGUCGCGGUAGUUGGUGAAAUGCUCGGUGCCGCCGUUGCCGCCGGAGGCGUAGUUGGUGAACGUGUUGGUGGGGUUGUUCAUGUCGAUGCCGUAGCCUUUGAACGUGUCGUUGGCGGCGUUGGCGUUCUCGGCGUAGUUGGAGAAUCCGGACCCGACGACGUUGGAGCUUUUUCCAUAGGAGGUGAACUCGUCGGUGGGGCCGUUUCCGUUCUUGCCGUAGCUGGUGAACGAUUGGUCUCCGGCAUUGCCGUUUUCUGAGUAGGCGGUGAACGAUUGGGUUCUCCCGUUGGCGUCGUCGGAGUAGGAGGAGAAUCGGAGGUCAGGGACGUU
Molecule: long non-coding RNA, 423 nt
Filed under: Lotus japonicus
Lineage: Eukaryota; Viridiplantae; Streptophyta; Magnoliopsida; Fabales; Fabaceae
Description: long non-coding RNA (LJAP_LNC001401)
Source: RNAcentral